This 67-nucleotide transfer RNA is filed under the name Hydromanicus wulaianus. RNAcentral's name for it is "tRNA-Pro". The record is from RNAcentral. Lineage: Eukaryota; Metazoa; Arthropoda; Insecta; Trichoptera; Hydropsychidae.
CAAUUAAUAGUUUAAUAAAAAUAAUAAUUUUGGAGAUUAUAGAUAUAAUAAAAUUUUAUUUAAUUGA